GGUUAAGCGACUAAGCGUACACGGUGGAUGCCCUGGCAGUCAGAGGCGAUGAAGGACGUGCUAAUCUGCGAUAAGCGCCGGUAAGGUGAUAUGAACCGUUAUAACCGGCGAUUUCCGAAUGGGGAAACCCAGUGUGAUUCGUCACACUAUCAUUAACUGAAUCCAUAGGUUAAUGAGGCGAACCGGGGGAACUGAAACAUCUAAGUACCCCGAGGAAAAGAAAUCAACCGAGAUUCCCCCAGUAGCGGCGAGCGAACGGGGAGGAGCCCAGAGCCUGAAUCAGCAUGUGUGUUAGUGGAAGCG
This 303-nucleotide ribosomal RNA is filed under the name Salmonella enterica. RNAcentral describes it as "partial 23S ribosomal RNA". It matches the Rfam family "Bacterial large subunit ribosomal RNA", at positions 1 to 308 of the family's 2925-position model. The record is from RNAcentral. RNAcentral also lists the same sequence under 1 other name. Lineage: Bacteria; Pseudomonadati; Pseudomonadota; Gammaproteobacteria; Enterobacterales; Enterobacteriaceae.